CCUACGGGUGGCAGCAGUGGGGAAUAUUCCGCAAUGGGCGAAAGCCUGACGCAGCGACGCCGCGUGCGGGAUGAAGGUCUUCGGAUCGUAAAGCUCUGUCAGCAGGGAAGAACGGUCACUGUGCUAAUCAGCAGUGAAUUGACGGUACCUGCACAGGAAGCACUGGCUAACUCUGUGCCAGCAGCCGCGGUAAUACGGAGGGUGCGAGCGUUAAGCGGAAUUACUGGGCGUAAAGCGCUCGUAGGCGGUAUGUUAAGUCAAGGGUGAAAUCCCCGGGCUCAACGGGGGAACUGCCUUGGAAACUGGCAAACUGGAGUGUGUUAGAGGAUAGUGGAAUUCCAUGUGAAGGAGUGAAAUCCGUAGAUAUCUGGAGGAACAUCAGUGGCGAAGGCGACUAACUGGCACAUAACUGACGCUGAGGGGCGAAAGCGUGGGUAGCAAACAGGAUUAGAUACCCGUGUAGUC
RNAcentral lists this ribosomal RNA (465 nucleotides) under uncultured bacterium. RNAcentral's name for it is "partial 16S ribosomal RNA". It matches the Rfam family "Bacterial small subunit ribosomal RNA", at positions 338 to 795 of the family's 1533-position model. The record is from RNAcentral.